This 426-nucleotide ribosomal RNA is filed under the name uncultured soil bacterium. RNAcentral describes it as "bacterial SSU rRNA". It matches the Rfam family "Bacterial small subunit ribosomal RNA", at positions 26 to 444 of the family's 1533-position model. The record is from RNAcentral.
AGAAUCAACGCUGGCGGCGUGCCUCAGACAUGCAAGUCGAACGAUUAAAGCUCCCUUCGGGGAGUGCAUAAAGUGGCGCACGGGUGAGUAACACGUAAGUAAUCUACCCUCGGGUGGGGAAUAACGUUCGGAAACGGACGCUAAUACCGCAUAAUGCAGCGGCACCGCAAGGUGACAGUUGUUAAAGAUUUAUUGCCUGGGGAGGAGCUUGCGGCAGAUUAGCUUGUUGGUAAGGUAACGGCUUACCAAGGCUACGAGUACUGUAUCCGGUCUAAGGAGGACGUCGGACACACUGACACUGAAUAACGGGUCACGACUCCUACGGAGGCAGCAGUCGGGAAUUUGGGCUAAUAGGGGGAACCUGACCAGCAACGCCGACGUGAAGGAGUGAGUAAGUUCGGUAUUAGUAAACUUCGAAAGUAAUAA